GACGAACGCUGGCGGCGUGCCUAAUACAUGCAAGUAGAACGCUGAAGGAGGAGCUUGCUCUUCUGGAUGAGUUGCGAACGGGUGAGUAACGCGUAGGUAACCUGCCUGGUAGCGGGGGAUAACUAUUGGAAACGAUAGCUAAUACCGCAUAACAGAAGAUGUUGCAUGACAUUUACUUAAAAGGUGCAAUUGCAUCACUACCAGAUGGACCUGCGUUGUAUUAGCUAGUUGGUGGGGUAACGGCUCACCAAGGCGACGAUACAUAGCCGACCUGAGAGGGUGAUCGGCCACACUGGGACUGAGACACGGCCCAGACUCCUACGGGAGGCAGCAGUAGGGAAUCUUCGGCAAUGGACGGAAGUCUGACCGAGCAACGCCGCGUGAGUGAAGAAGGUUUUCGGAUCGUAAAGCUCGGUUGUAAGAGAAGAACGAGUGUGAGAGUGGAAAGUUCACACUGUGACGGUAUCUUACCAGAAAGGGACGGCUAACUACGUG
RNAcentral lists this ribosomal RNA (495 nucleotides) under uncultured bacterium. RNAcentral describes it as "partial 16S ribosomal RNA". It matches the Rfam family "Bacterial small subunit ribosomal RNA", at positions 28 to 507 of the family's 1533-position model. The record is from RNAcentral.